GAGACAAUCCCACAUUCCCUAAGAUAGUCGAGGAACUCUGAACUCAGAUACUCACCACCUCGAUCGGAUCGAAGCAUCUUAUGGUUCCUGCCCAAUUGAUUCUCGACUUUAUGUUUAAAUUCCUUAAACCUUUCGAAAGUCUCUAACUUAUGCUUGAUUAAGUNGAUUAGGUAGACAUAUCCAUAUCUACUGUAAUCAUCAGUAAAAGUCAAAUAAUAACGAUUAGCAUCCCUUGUGGCAUGUUUGAAUGGUCCACACACAUCCGUGUGUACAAGGUCCAACAAACCUUCACCCCUCUCACAAGAGCUUGUGAAGGGUGACUUUGUCAUUUUUCCAAGUAAGCAUGAUUCGUAACUAUCAUCUGACUUUAGGUCAAACGACUCCAAGACUCCAUCCUUUUGGAGUUGGCCUAUGCAUUUCUUGCUUAUAAGUCCAAGACGACAAUUCCAUAAUAAUGCUUUAUCCUAGUUAUUAUUAUUAAUAGAAUCAAUACACAUCACAUUAUUUCCUAAGUUAUUUAUAACAGACACAGCUUCAUACACACCAUCACAAGGUAAUGCUUUAAAAUAAAGAACAUUAUUAAAGAAAGCAUCAAUAGNUCACAAGAGCCUGUGAAGGGUGACUUUGUCAUUUUUCCAAGUAAGCAUGAUUCGCAACUAUCAUCUGACUUUAGGUCAAACGACUCCAAGACUCCAUCCUUUUGGAGUUGGCCUAUGCGUUUCUUGCUUAUAUGUCCAAGACGACAAUGCCAUA
RNAcentral lists this long non-coding RNA (753 nucleotides) under Lactuca sativa (garden lettuce). RNAcentral describes it as "long non-coding RNA (LSAT_LNC003093)". The record is from RNAcentral. Lineage: Eukaryota; Viridiplantae; Streptophyta; Magnoliopsida; Asterales; Asteraceae.